This 194-nucleotide non-coding RNA is filed under the name Bacillus oleivorans. RNAcentral describes it as "6S / SsrS RNA". It matches the Rfam family "6S / SsrS RNA". Rfam says of the family: E. coli 6S RNA was the first non coding RNA to be sequenced, but its function was unknown until recently. Lineage: Bacteria; Bacillati; Bacillota; Bacilli; Caryophanales; Bacillaceae. The record is from RNAcentral.
UACAAGCUGCUUUGCUCGUGGUCAUAUAAAGUUUUUACCUUUGAGCUGAAAUAGGGAGUUUUAAAUUGAAACUGGAAUGACAAGUUUCCGUCUAUACGACAAGGAAAACAGGCAGGAUAGUUUCUGCGAACACCCACUUUGAGGAGUGGUGGUUAAAAACUUUCUUAUUAGAAUACGGCAAAAGCGGCUACAUA